This 497-nucleotide ribosomal RNA is filed under the name uncultured bacterium. Its description in RNAcentral is "partial 16S ribosomal RNA". It matches the Rfam family "Bacterial small subunit ribosomal RNA", at positions 28 to 507 of the family's 1533-position model. The record is from RNAcentral.
GAUGAACGCUGGCGGCGUGCCUAAUACAUGCAAGUCGAGCGAACAGAUGAGGAGCUUGCUCCUCUAACGCUAGCCGCGGGCGGGUGAGUAACACGUGGAUAAUCCACUUAUAAUAGUGGGAUAACUUGGGAACACCGGAGCUAAUACCGGAGAAUCUCUUGAACCGCAUUGUGCAAUAGUGAAAGACGGUGUUUCUGUAACUUAUAGCUGGAUCUGCGCCUCAUUAGCUAGUUGGUAAGGUAACGGCUUACCAAGGGAACUAUGCGUGGUCGACGUGCGAGGGGGAUAGGCCGCACAGGAAGUGCAACACGGUCCGGACGCCUACGGGAGGCAGCAGAAGGGAAUGUUCGGCAGAGGGCGAAAGCCUGACGGAGCAACGGCGAGUGAGUGAUAAAGGUCUUCGGUUCGUAAAACUCUGUUAUGAGGGAAGAACAGAUGUGUAAGUUACUGUGCACGUAUUGACGGUACAGAAUAAGAAAGCCACGGCUAACUACGUG